CCUCCUACGGGGCGCAGCAGUGGGGAAUAUUGCACAAUGGGGGAAACCCUGAUGCAGCGACGCCGCGUGAGUGAAGGAGUAAUUCGUUAUGUAAAGCUCUAUCAGCAGGGAAGAAAAUGACGGUACCUGAGUAAGAAGCCCCGGCUAACUACGUGCCAGCAGCCGCGGUAAUACGUAGGGGGCAAGCGUUAUCCGGAUUUACUGGGUGUAAAGGGAGCGUAGACGGCAGUGCAAGUCUGGAGUGAAAGGCGGGGG
This 255-nucleotide ribosomal RNA is filed under the name uncultured bacterium. RNAcentral's name for it is "partial 16S ribosomal RNA". It matches the Rfam family "Bacterial small subunit ribosomal RNA", at positions 335 to 607 of the family's 1533-position model. The record is from RNAcentral.